GGCCUCCUACGGGGGGCAGCAGUAGGGAAUAUUGCUCAAUGGGGGAAACCCUGAAGCAGCAACGCCGCGUGGAGGAUGAAGGUUUUCGGAUUGUAAACUCCUUUUGUUAGAGAAGAUAAUGACGGUAUCUAACGAAUAAGCACCGGCUAACUCCGUGCCAGCAGCCGCGGUAAUACGGAGGGUGCAAGCGUUACUCGGAAUCACUGGGCGUAAAGAGCGCGUAGGCGGGAUAGCAAGUCAGAUGUGAAAUCCUAUGGCUUAACCAUAGAACUGCAUUUGAAACUGUCAGUCUUGAGUACCGGAGA
This 305-nucleotide ribosomal RNA is filed under the name uncultured bacterium. RNAcentral describes it as "bacterial SSU rRNA". It matches the Rfam family "Bacterial small subunit ribosomal RNA", at positions 333 to 655 of the family's 1533-position model. The record is from RNAcentral.